This 224-nucleotide unclassified non-coding RNA is filed under the name Hevea brasiliensis (rubber tree). The record is from RNAcentral. Lineage: Eukaryota; Viridiplantae; Streptophyta; Magnoliopsida; Malpighiales; Euphorbiaceae.
GGGUUCAUGGCUUCCCUCUCCAUACCAGGUUGGUUGUUGAUAGUUUCGAUUUUGGUUUUGGCUUGCUGAUCCUGGAGCUUUAAAGGUAGGGGAAAUACAUUANNNNNNNNNNAGAGAUGAGGUGAGGCUCUGUUAGAGCUACGAUUAAGUUCAUAGUAUGUUGUUCUAUUCUGGGUUUAGAGGCAUCCAUUGCUGUGAUGGGAGGGGUAUAUGCAUGUUGAUGU